UACAAAUAUAGAUCAUAUCUAUCCAUCUCUUUCUCUCUUUAUAAUCUAAUGUUUCACCCCUAGAACUUCACAAAAGAAGAUGUGAAGGUCAGCUGUGGUUCCAGAUUUUUAACGAUCGUUGUUUUCUUCCCUGAAUGUUAAGAAAUGCCCAAUCGUACUUCAGCAACUAGCAACUGUAGCUAAAGGAAUUGGAACAUAGAGAAUAUACUGCCAGGGACAAAAGGAAGAAAACAGCCCAGGGUGAUGGUGCAUGAAAGCCAGGUCUGUUUUGGUGGAAAGAAGACAAGUGAUUCUACUGAACAUCUGUAAUACACAGCUGCACGCUGGCAUUUGGGUAAGAUGUGAUUGAUGGCGUACUUGAAUGUAGAUUUACAAAUGUGGCCCAAGGCCAGUUUCCCCUUAUUUUGACAAUGAAAACACUGUAAUUCUUAAUAUUAAAUGUUUACUGGGAUGGGAAACAAAAAUGCAGUUUCUAGCAGCAUGCAGAGAAUAGGAAUUGGUAAAUUAAUCAGUGUUACUACCCACCCAUAGGUCCC
Molecule: long non-coding RNA, 536 nt
Filed under: Felis catus (domestic cat)
Lineage: Eukaryota; Metazoa; Chordata; Mammalia; Carnivora; Felidae
Description: lncRNA (ENSFCAG00000042940.1)
Source: RNAcentral